UUGCAGGAAAUCUGACAGUCUAGAGUUGUUCAGUACUGGAAACUUGUGAAAUCUUAGACAAGGAAGGAUUCCUUCAGAAAUGUUAUGGAUAUGAAUGCUAACCUUGGUGGAUUUGCAGCAUCACUGAGGAAAAAGGACGUCUGGGUAAUGAAUGUAGUCCCUUUCGUGGAAUCUGGAAAACUGAAGAUCAUAUAUGACCGUGGUUUGAUAGGGACAAUCCAUACCUGGUAA
RNAcentral lists this ribosomal RNA (231 nucleotides) under Triticum aestivum (bread wheat). RNAcentral describes it as "partial small subunit ribosomal RNA". Lineage: Eukaryota; Viridiplantae; Streptophyta; Magnoliopsida; Poales; Poaceae. The record is from RNAcentral.